AGAGAAUCAAAGAUUACAACAUAAUUUUCUACCCGGGUGACUAAGGGCGCGGUGCUAUUUGCUGGAAAUAGGGAAGUCAGAAGAAGGCGCUGGUUAAGUAAAAGGCAGAAAUUGCUCUACUUGGACCGUUUGGGUUGAAAAUGCUAGUGAGUCAUCCCAGUGGCGGUGACCUGCAGACUGUUGGAAAAGAGGCACUAAAGAGAGAGGCUAAGGAUAGGGAGGUGGAUUUGGGAGCUAGCUCCAAAGAGGGUCGCACCACGGGAAUGAAUCAUGGCCCAGGAAGGGACUGUAGGACAAGGAAAGAGGACUAAGGCUGGACCUUGGUGACAGAACACUGAUGGGACAAGCAGAAGAAGAGGAACCAUGAGGAAGACUAAAGAGGAAUAACACUAAUGAGGAGAAGCAAGGCAGUUCAGUGUCAUGGAAGCCAAAAAUAUGGAGACAUCAAGAGGGAAAUUAAGAUCAGAAAAGAGAACAAGAGAAGAUGGCUGGUUGGUUGCUGGACACCAGAAUAUGAAGAAAUUGAUCCCCUACCUCAAGAAAUGAGAGGAAUAUUGAGAGCAUCAGACCGAAGAUUUGGAGUAUGGUUCAAAUUCAUGAUCUAUCUUCUCCAAGUGUUGGCUUUCUCCUCUCUGUUGACGACCUACUAUGUACCAUUUUGAAUGCCCAUUGGACUUAAUAAACUUACCUCUCGAGGUAUUUGGCUCA
Molecule: long non-coding RNA, 708 nt
Filed under: Ursus maritimus (polar bear)
Lineage: Eukaryota; Metazoa; Chordata; Mammalia; Carnivora; Ursidae
Description: lncRNA (ENSUMAG00000013664.1)
Source: RNAcentral